AGGACGAACGCUGGCGGCGUGCUUAACACAUGCAAGUCGAACGGAAAGGCCCUUCGGGGUACUCGAGUGGCGAACGGGUGAGUAACACGUGAGCAAUCUGCCCCUAGCUCUGGGAUAGCUCCGGGAAACCGGGAUUAAUACCAGAUAUCACUACGGCCGACAUCAGCUGUGGUGGAAAGAAUUUCGGCUAGGGAUGAGCUCGCGGCCUAUCAGCUUGUUGGUGGGGUAAAGGCCCACCAAGGCGACGACGGGUAGCCGGCCUGAGAGGGCGACCGGCCACACUGGGACUGAGACACGGCCCAGACUCCUACGGGAGGCAGCAGUGGGGAAUAUUGCGCAAUGGGCGAAAGCCUGACGCAGCGACGCCGCGUGCGGGAUGAAGGCCUUCGGGUUGUAAACCGCUUUCAGCAGGGACGAAGCGAAGUGACGGUACCUGCAGAAGAAGCGCCGGCUAACUACGCGCCAGCAGCCGCGGUAA
This 478-nucleotide ribosomal RNA is filed under the name uncultured bacterium. RNAcentral describes it as "SSU rRNA". It matches the Rfam family "Bacterial small subunit ribosomal RNA", at positions 26 to 523 of the family's 1533-position model. The record is from RNAcentral.